RNAcentral lists this long non-coding RNA (3001 nucleotides) under Fragaria vesca (wild strawberry). RNAcentral describes it as "long non-coding RNA (FVES_LNC001984)". Lineage: Eukaryota; Viridiplantae; Streptophyta; Magnoliopsida; Rosales; Rosaceae. The record is from RNAcentral.
UUUACCUCAAAAUUAUUUGAAUUAUAGGAGUAUAAUUUUUUAAGGUUCUUGUUUCAGUUGGGCAUCCAAUUCGACAUACAGAGUUCAAAGUUAAUGGUAGACCAUGUGAUAUGGUGAUGUUGAAAUAUGUUUGUUGAUAGUUGUUUACAUUUAUUUGUAUUUUUAUGGUAGUUGUUUUAAGCUCUUGUCAGCGAAGUUGUUCAUUUAUUUGUAUUUUUAUGGUAGUUGUUUUAAGCUCUUGUCAGCGAAGUUGUUUAUUAACAAACAUAUUUCAACAUCACCAUAUCACAUGAUCGAAAGUCCUUUUGAAAGAUUUAUUUUUAACAGAAAACUUGUUUUCACUUAUCAUGAGCCGUUGACGAUCAAGCUCAUUUAUUUUUAAAAACAAAGUCAUUUUCCUUCAAGGACAAUUUCACAAUUAAUAAAACAAAAUUAUAAAGUAAAUUCGGUUAUUUAAGAACCCAUGUGAGAUUUACUCACAAUAUAAAAAUAGCAUCAUAAUCAUCAAACAAAACCAUUACCAUUGUCAUCAUAAUAAUUAUCAUCAUCAUCAUUCUCAAAAACAACAACACAAUCAUCAUCAUAAUCAUCUUCAAAAUCAACAUCAUAAUAAUUAUAAUGAUUGGUCCGAAACUGGACCUUAGUGAGAUGUUACUCACCUCAAAUCCAGCUGCGUCUUCGCACGCACAACUCAAGCAUAUCACACAAAACCACAUCACAAAGUCACCUAUUAACAAAACGUUAACCUUAGUAACUAAGAAAGCAACAUUAUCCGACUCGAACCGAAACUCAAGUCCUAAUCCACGAGCUUAUCACUCGAGACAAAUCCUCCUCCUUGACCUCUAAAAGGUCGCUGAAACAUCCUACACAUCCUAUAGAACUACUAUCCAGAAUCUCAUGUUCGGAUUACUAAAAAAAAUGAAACGAACGAAACUAAUCACCACUGGGAAACCCUAGCAUGCAAUAAAGAUAACCAAAACCUACAACCCACAAAUCAACACACUCGUAUCGAAGAGUAUUAUCUAACCAGCACCACAAAACACCCCAGACACUACCGGACGCGCCACCACGCGCCACCACAGGCGGCGACGAGUGGGCCCCACGCGUCACCACGAAACGUCCGAAUUAGGGCAAACUCAAAACAUCAAAUUUGUAGAUUGAGGAGAGAGGAGCAUCUUUUAUACCUGAGGGUUCAACUAGUUCGGCCGGAAUCGGCCGGAAAUCACCGGAAACCCGCCGGAAAAGUUGGAAUUCACCACCACCACUCCACACCGAGAGUCAAGCUUCAAGACCACCGGAAAACAAACCAGGACGCCAAAGAGCUCCUAUCCCGACCGUUUCCAAGCUGCGUCGCCGCCGCCGGAGGUGGGAAACCCGACCGGUCUCCAAGCCGGACUUCCAAGCUUCGGGUCACCACUUCGGGACUGAAUCGGCGCAAGUCACCACCACAGGGCAGCUCGGACGGAGGAGAGGAAGAGAACCCGACCGGUGCCGUCGUCUGGGUCGGCCGGAGUUGGCCGGAAAAGUCGGGUCGGGUUGCCGGGUCCGGGUCAGGUCGGCUGGAAAACUCAGAUACCCAAGGUGAGGCGCGGGAGAGAAAGAGAAGAGGGAAGAAAUGGUUCCGGAAAAAUGAAAAGAAACCUAACACUUUUCUUAGUUAUACUAAAAAUUCCCGAAAAUCACGAACUUUUGCUGACCAUAACUUUCGCAUACAAAGUCCGUUUUACGCGUGCCACGUGUCUACGAACUCGUAUCGUCGUGCUCUACAACUUUCGUGAAGGAAGUUUCCCGAGAAACCCAACCGAUUAAAAAGUCAACUCUUAACCCUUCAAAAUAGAGCAUUUUUACGGAACUAAAAACUCAACUACUUCCAGUCCACUCACUAAACCACAAAUCCAUACAACUCUUACUUAAAUAAUUUCCAAAAUAAUAUUAGAAACUAAUAUUAAAAUUCCGGGGUAUUACACUUGGAUUGUAAUAUCUCACAUCAGCCAAACGGAGAAGGGUUAUGUGCUGUAUAUGUACAUGCCCACCUCCAAUCUAAUACGAGGCUUUUUGGUGUCUCAACGGCUUCGGAGGGGAUGGGUACUCCGAGGUUAAACAUGUUGAUGCUAGAGCAAUCCUAGGAUGGGUGACCUACUGGGAAGUUACUCCUGAGCUGUCGGAAACAAAACCGUGAGGGCCGGUGGGCCCAAAGCGGACAAUAUCGUGUUACGGCGGAAUGAGUCCUGGGAUGUGACAAAUGGUAUCAGAGCCACUCUGCCGUGUGGUGCGAGUGUGCCGACGAGGGCGUUGAACUCCCAAGGGGGUGGAUUGUAAUAUCCCACAUCGGCCAAACGGAGAGGAGUUAUGUGCUGUAUAUGUACAUGCUCACCUCCAAUCUAAUACGAGGCCUUUCGGUGGCUCAACGGCUUCAGAGGGGAUGGGUACUCCGAGGUUAAGCAUGUUGAUGCUAGAGCAAUCCUAGGAUGGGUGACCUACUGGGAAGCUGCUCCUGAGCUGUCGGAAACAAAACCGUGAGGGCCGGUGGGCCCAAAGCAGACAAUAUCGUGUUACGGCAGAAUGGGUCCUGGGAUGUGACAUUUAUUUCGCUUAUGUAAAUGGUAGACAUUUCUUAUGAAAAUAGUAGACGUGUCUUAUGUUAAAUGUAGACUUUGCAUCUUUUCUCUUGGGUUGCUUUAACCUCAAGAACAAUUUUGAUUUCUAGAAAGUCUACUUUUCUUUGAUUUCUCUUAUGUUAAUGGUAGACAUUUCUUAUGAAAAAAGUAGUUGUAUCUUAUGUUAAAUGUAGACUUUGCAUCUUUUACCUUGAUUUGCUUCAAUCUCAAGAACAAUUUAAUUUUCCAGAAAGUCUAUUUUUCUUUAAUUUCUCUUAUGUUAAUGGUAGAUGUUUCUAAUGAAAAUAGUAGAUGUGUCUUAUGUUAAAUGUAGACUUUGCAUUCUUUUACCUUGGGUUGGUUCAAUCUCAAGAACAAUUUAGAUUUCCAGAAAGUCUACUUUU